RNAcentral lists this ribosomal RNA (323 nucleotides) under uncultured archaeon. RNAcentral describes it as "bacterial SSU rRNA". It matches the Rfam family "Archaeal small subunit ribosomal RNA", at positions 321 to 648 of the family's 1478-position model. The record is from RNAcentral.
CCCUACGGGGCGCAGCAGGCGCGAAAACUUUACAAUGCGGGAAACCGUGAUAAGGGAACUCCGAGUGCCCGUUAAAUCGGGCUGUCCAUCUGUGUAAAUAACAGGUGAAGAAAGGGCCGGGCAAGACCGGUGCCAGCCGCCGCGGUAAUACCGGCGGCUCGAGUGGUGGCCACUAUUACUGGGCUUAAAGCGUUCGUAGCUGGUUUGUUAAGUCUCUGGGGAAAUCUUCCGGCUUAACCGGAAGGCGUCUCAGGGAUACUGGCAGACUAGGGACCGGAAGNGGUGAGGGGUACUCCAGGGGUAGGAGUGAAAUCCUGUAAUCC